RNAcentral lists this long non-coding RNA (3140 nucleotides) under Homo sapiens (human). Its description in RNAcentral is "HSALNT0086335". The stretch from base 1337 to 1401 matches the Rfam family "mir-1255 microRNA precursor family". Lineage: Eukaryota; Metazoa; Chordata; Mammalia; Primates; Hominidae. The record is from RNAcentral.
UGCUUAGUCAUCUUUUCAUCUGGCUUUAUCUUAAAAGGCCUCCCUAUUCCUUGAGAGACAGCAAUGUUGAAAUUAGGCCAAUUAAUAACCCUACAAUGGCCUCUAAGUGUUCACAUGAAAGGAAGAAUUGCAUGUCUCUAACUUUAAAUAAAAAACUAGAAAUUACUAAGCUUUGUGAGGAAGGCAUAUUGAAAGCUGAAACAGGUUAAAAGCCAGGCUUCUUGCACCAAACAGUUAGCCAAGUUGUGAAUGCAAAGGAAAAGUUCUUGAAGGAAAUUUAAAGUGCUACUCCGGUGAACGCAUGAAUGAUAAGAAAGCAAAAUAACCUUCUUGCUGAUAUGGAGAAAGGUUGAGUGGUCUGGAUAGAAGAUGAAACCAGCCACACAUUUCCUUAAGCCAAAGCCUAAUCCAGAGCAAAUCCCUAACUCUCUUCAAGUCUAUGAAAUUUGAGAGAAGUAAAGAAGCUUCAGAAGGAAAGUUGGAAGGUAGCAGAGGUUGAUUCAGAGGUUUAAGAAGCCAUUUUUUAUAAAAUAGAAAUGCAAGUUGAAGCAGCAAGUGCUAAUGUACGUGCUUCAGCAAGUUAUCCAGAAGAUCUAGCUAAGAUCAUUGUUGAGGGUGGCUAAACUACAUUUUCAAUGUAGGUGAAACAGCCUCAUAUUGGAAGAAGGUGCCAUCUAGGACUUUCAUAGCUAGAGAGAAGUCACCGCCUGGCUGCAAAGUUUCAAAGGACAGGCUAACUCUCUUGUUAGGGGCUAAUACAGCUGGUGACUUGAAGUUGAAGCCAAUGCUCAUUUACCAUUCUGAAAAUCCUAAGGCUAAAUCUAUUUUGCCUGUGCUCUAUGAAUAGAACAACAAAGCCUAGAUGACAGCACAUCUGUUUACAGCAUGGUUACUGAAUAUUUUAAGCCCACUGCUGAAAGUUACUGCUCAGAAGAAAACAUUUCUUUCAAAAUAUUACUUCUCAUUGACAAUGCACCUGGUCACCCAAGAGCUCUGAUGAAGAUACACAAGGAGAUUAAUGUUGUCUUCAUACUUGGUAACUCAACAUUCAUUCUGCAACCAUGGAUCAAGGAGUAGUUUUGAUUCUCAAGACUCAUUAUUUAAGAAACACAUUUCAUAAGGCUAUAGCUGUCAUAGAUAGUGAUUUAUCUGAUGGAUCUAGACAAGGUAAAUUGAAAACCUUCUGGAAGGGAGUCACCGUUCUAGCUGCCAUCAAGAACAUUAGUGACUCAUGGGAGAAGGCCUAAAUAACAACGUUAAUAGGCAUUUGGAAGAAGUUGGUUCCAACCCUUGUAGAUGACUUGAGGGAUUUACAACUUCAGGGGAGGAAGUUGCUUGUUAUGGAUGAGCAAAGGAAGUGGUUUCUGAGAUGGAAACUACUCCUGGUGAAGACGCUAUGAACAUUGUUGAAAUGACAACAUAGGAUUUAGGGUGUUACAUAAACUUAGUGAAAGAGUGGCAGGGUUUGAGAGGACCGUCUCCAAUUUUGAAAGAAAUUCUACUGUGAGUAAAAUGCUAUCAAACAGCAUCACAUGCUCCAGAGAUUCUCUCAAGAGUCAACUCAUAUGGCACACUUCAUUGUCAUCCUAUUUUAAAAAAUUGCCAAAGCCACCCAGCUGAUCAGCAACCUGAUCAGUUAGCAGUCACCAACAUCAAGGCAAGACCUUCUAACAGCCAAAAGAGUACAACUCAGAUGAUCAUUAGCAUUUUUUAAGCAAUACAGCAUUUUUUUUUUUUUUUGAGAUGGAGUCUGCUCUUGUCGCCCAGGCUGGAGUGCAAUGGCACAAUCUCGGCUCAGUGCAACCUCUGCCUCCCGUGUUCAAGCGAGUCUCCUGCCACAGCCUCCCAAAUAGCUGGGACUACAGGUAUGCACCACCAAGCCUGGCUAAUUUUUAUAUUUUUAGUAGAGAUGGAGUUUCACCAUGUUGACCAGGCUGUUCUUAAACUCCUGACCUCAGAUGAUCUGCCCGCCUUGGCCUCCCAAAGUGCUGGGAUUACAGGCGUGAGCCACCGUGCCUGACCAAUUCAGCAUUUUAAGAUUAAGGCAUGCAGAUUGUUUUUUAGACAUAAUGCCAUUGCACACUUAAUGGACUACAGUGUAGUGUAAACAUAACUUUUUUUUUUUUUUUUUGAGAUGGAAUUUCACUCUUGUUGCCCAGGCUGGAGUGCAGUGGCACGAUCUUGGCUCACCACAACCUCCGCCUUCUGGGUUCAAGCGAUUCUCCUGCCUCAGCCUCCUGAGUAGCUGGGAUUACAGGUAUAUGCCACCACGCCCAGCUAAUUUUUGUAUUUUUAGUUGAGAUGGGGUUUCUCCAUGUUGGUCAGGCUGGUCUCGAGCUCCCGACCUCAGGUGGUCUGCUCACCUUGGCCUCCCCAAGUGCUGGGAUUACAGAUGUGAGCCACUGCACCCGACAGAUAACUUUUAUAUAUACUAGGAAACAAAAAAAUUUAUGUGACUCACUUUACUACAACAUUCAUUUUAUUCCACUGAUCUGGAACUGAACUUGCAGUAUCUCCAAGGUAUGCCUGUACAUCUAUGUAACCAACACUCCAAUUAAGAUAUCAUCCCAGAAACUUCCCACAUGUCCAUUUCAUAUCCCCUUUCAAUCAAUCCUUCCCACCCUGAGGCAACAACUAUUCCAUCACCACAGAUGUUUUUCCUGUCCUUGAACUUGUUAGAAGCACUUUGAAAAGUGAAAGCCACUAUACAAAAUCCAGUAUUAUUACUAUAUCUCAACUAGAUGUUACAUUAUUUAAAAGACCUAGUAUUUUACUUAGUACUGAGCAGAAAGCAUGGUAGACACUGACUCAAUUCAAUAUUGAAUAUAUCUUAAAGUGAGUAAAGUGUAGGGAAAGGGCCUUUGGCCUGGGUUCUGGGAAAGCUGAAUUCGAACCUGCUCUGACUUACCUAACAUUGUGACAUUUAAAACAAAACAAAACAUUUUUUACCUUAAGUGUUUCUUCUACUAAAUAAAGGAGUUGGACUAGAUGAUGUUGUAGAGUACCUUCAUGCUUUCAGAAAUUAUUUAACGAUGAUAAUGGCUAACAUUUAUUGAAUGAUUACUAUAUGUCAGGCACUACUCUAAAUACAUUUAUGAACUCAUUAAUCUUAAUAACGGUCCAACAAGGUAAAUCUUACU